AUCCAAGAGAAGAGAUAAAAGAGAAAUAGAUAUUUCUGUCCUAAGAUUCCAGAAUUUUUAAUUUUAAGUUGUUACCAAAUUGGUGCCCUAGAAUGAUUGCACCCAUUUAUAUUCCUACUAGUAGUGGAAGUGCAAUAACGUCCAUCUGGUGGACAAAAAAAAUGUAUCAGUAUUUUAUCUCUGCCCUCCAUUUGUUGAGUUUCUCUUUCUGGGGCUCCUAUUGAUUGGGUGACCUGGAGGUCCUGUAUGUUAGCUUUCUUUCACAGGCUCUUUUAGUCUUUUUUAAUUUUACAGUGUGGGAUUAUUUCUUUGACUUUCUCAUCUAGCACUUUUAUUGAUUUAAUUUUUCAUUUUGAUAAUCUUGAGGUUUUUUUUUUUUAACUCAUCCAUUCUGGUAAAUUUCAAACAUAGAAGUAGAGGGAAUGGUAUAAUGAAUCCAUUCAGCUUUAAGAACUGUCAACAGUUUUCAUGUAUAACUUCAUUCUCUCCCCCAACCAACCUUCAAAUUAUUUUGAAGUUAAUCCCAAACAUAUUAUUAUAUAUACACAUUUUUCAGUGUCUAAAGGACUCUUAUAUUACUUUGUAGUUAUUUACCUUGUUUUUUCAGUUUAGUAUGUGUUAAGUAUGUUCACUUUGCUGUGCAACAGAUCUCCAGAAGUUUUCCGUCAUGCGAAACAAACUAUACCCACUGAAAAACAACCCCAUUCUCCCCAUCCCUAACCCUUGCCAACUACCAUUCUGAUCUUUGUUUCUAUGAGUUUGACUACUUUAGAUACUUCAUAGAAGUGAAAUCCUACAGUAUUUCUUUGUGACUGGCUUAUUCCAUUUAGCAUAAUGUCCUUAAACUUCAUCUUUGUGCUGUAUGACAAGAUCUCUCUCCUUUUAAAGGCUGAAUAUUUCAUUGCAUGUACAUACCACAUUUUAUUCAUUUAUCCCUCAAUGAACAUUUGAGUGGCCUCCACCUUUUGACUAUUGUGAAUAAUGCUGCACUGAACACAGGAGUAUUAAUACCUCUUCCAGAUCUGGCUCUCGAUUCUUUUAGGUAAAUACUCAGAAGUGGGAUUGCUGGAUCAUAUGGCAUAACUUUGUAUUUUUCUUUUUUUGAGGAACCUCCAUUACAUUUUCCAUAGCAGCUGCACCAUUUUACGUUCUCACCAAGGGUUCCAAUGUCUCCACAUCCUUGACAACACAUUUUCUGUUUUGGGUUUUUAAUUUGUUUUUUGUUAUAGUAGCUAUCCUAACGGGUGUGAGGUGGUACCACACUGUGUUUUGAUUUGCAUUUCUCUAGUGAUUAGUGAAGUUGAGCAUCUUUUACACUGGUUAGCUAUUUCUGUAUCGUUUGAGAAAUAUCUAUGCAAGUUAUUUGUCCAUUUAUUAAUCAGGUUAUUUAUGUUCUUAUUGGGUUGUAGGAGUUCUUUCUGUAUUCUGAAUAUUUAACUCAUUAUUAGUUAUGCGAUUUGCAAAUAUUUUCUCCCAUUCUAUAGGUUGCCUAUUCACUGUUGAUUGUUUCCUUUGAUGUGCAGUCUUUUUUUAAGUUUGAUACAGUCCCAUUUGUCUACUUUGCUUUUGUUGCCUAUGCUUUUGGGUGUCAUAUCCAAGAAAUCAUUGCCAAAUCCCUUGUCAUGAAAACUUUGUUUUCUUCCGGGAAUUUUGUAGUGUAGGUACUAGUUUAAAUAUUUUUCUGUGUGAGACAGAGCGUGCAUAUGUGCAGGGCCAGGGCAGAGGGAGAGGGAGAGAGAAUAUCUUAAGCAGGCUCCAUGCUCAGUGCAGAGUCCAAUGUGGGGCUCAACCCCACCACUGAGAGAUCGUGACCUGAGCCAAAAUCAAGUGGGAUGCUUAACUACUGAGCCAUCCAGAUGCCUCUAGUUUAAGUCUUUAAUUUUGAGUUAAUUUUUGAAUAUGGCUUCACAGUUUUGCAUGUAGAUAUCCAGUUUUUCCAGCACCAUCUGUUAAAGAGACUGUCCUUUCCCCUGCUGUGCGUUCUUGGCACCCUGAUUGAAAAUCAUUUGACCCUAUACAUGAGGGUCAAGGCAUCCUUGCAUUCCAGGAAAAAAAUCUCUCUUGGUCAUGGUGUGUAAUCCUUUUAAUAUGCUGAUGAGUUUCGUUUGGUACUAUUUUGUUGAGGAUUUUUGCGUCAGUAUUCAUCAGGGAUAUUGGUCUGUAGGUUUUUUUUAUUAAGGUAUAAUUGACAUAUAACAAUAGUUUCAGGUGUGUAAGGUAAUGAUUUAAUAUUUGUAUAUAUAGUCUGUAGUUUUCCUGUAGUGUCUUUGGCUUUGGUAUUGGAGUAAUGCUGUCCUUAAGAAUGAGUCUGGAAGUAUUCCCUUCUCUUUGGUUUGUUAGAGGAGUUUGAGGAUUGGUGUUAAUUCUUCUUUAAAUGUUUGGUAGCAUUCCCCAGAAGCCAUCUGAUCCUGGGCUUUUCUUUGUUGGUAGGUUUUGAUUACAGAUUUAGUCUCCUUACUAGUCUGUUUCAAUUUUUUAUUUCUUCAUGAUUCAGUCUUAGUAUGUUGUGUAUUUCUAAGAAUUUAUCCAUUUCCUAUGGGUUAUCCAGUUUGUUGGCAUGUAAGUGUUCAUAGUAUUCUCUCAUAAUCCUUUUUGGGGUUUUUAAAAAUAUUUAUUUAUUUAUUUGUUUAUUUAUUUAUUUAUGAGACGGAGUGGGGGAGGGGCAGAGACAGGGGGAGACACAGAAUCCAACACAGGCUCCAGGCUCUGGGCUGUCAGCCAAGAGCCCAACAUGGGGUUCAAACUCACAAACUGUGAGGUCAUGACCUGAGCCAAAAUCAGUGCUCAACCAACUGAGCCACGCAGGUGACCCAAUCCUUUUUGGUUUUGUGGCAUUAGUUGUGAUGUCCCAGGUUUCAAUUCUGAUUUUAGUUAUUUAAAUAUUUUUUCUUUUUUUGAAAUUAAUCUAGCUAAAGGUUUUUAAAUUUUGUUGAUCUUUUCAACAAUCCAAUUCUUAGUUUUGUUGAUAUCCCUAUCAGGGUUUUUUCUAUUCUCUAUUUUGUGUAUGCUCUCAUCUUUAGUAUUUUCCUCAUGCUAACUUUUGAGUUUCUUUUUCUUUCUCUAGUUGAGAUGUAAAGUUAGAUUACUGAUCUGAGACUUUCUUAAUGUUUACACCUACAAUCUUCCCUGUUGGUACUGUUUUCACUUUAUCUCAUACAUUUUGGUGUGAUGUGUUUCCAUUCUCAUUUGUCUCCUGGUAUUUUCUAAUUUCCCUUGUGAAUUCCUUGACCAAAGAACUUGACUAAAUUGGUUUUUUUGAAUUCCAGAAAGUUGAACUCACAAAUCUGUUUCCAUUUUCUUUGUUAUUUAUUCCUUGGUUUUCCUCUAUGAUAGUUUCAGUGAGGUCUCUAGGCAGAGAUGAAGCAACUAUCUGUGCUCAGUCUGCAACCCUGAGCUGAGAUUUAACUGAUUCUUAAGGUUUCUUGAGCAUCUGUUUUAUAUAGAUAACCCACAUAGGACAUUUCUCAUUAACAAGAACGGUAGAGUGGCAUUGUGCUGAAAGGUAGGGGCUCCUGAACCAGACCAUCUGGGUUCCAAAUUUGGCUUUUCUCUUUUCUAGCUGAGACUUUGGUUAGGUAUGUUACUUACGUUCUUGUAUAUGAGUUUCUUCACCAAUCAAAUGAGAAUACUAAAAAUCCCUUAUGGAGUUAUUCAAAGAUGAAAUGAGUUAAUAUUUUUAAUGUACUUAGGUGAGUGAUUGGCAUAGAGUAAGAACUAUUCCAAUAUUUGGAAUUGAAUAAAUUUGAAUUUCAGAAAAUGAAAUGCAUCUGAGAAAGUGGCCCCUUGAAUUUGUCUCACUCAUACCUGGUACAGAGUUCCUCGAAUACAACAAGAUUUAAAACAUUUUUUUUUCUGCUUAGAGGUCAACUAAGUUGAGUGGUGACAAUUUUUGCACUUAAGUAGGUAGUUAAUAAAAAAAAUGAACUUAAGUAAGUUUGAAUGACUGUGUGUAUCCCUGACAAGACAUACAGGCGUCACAGUUGUGACUGAAAGGAAUUCACAGAAAGUCCGACUAACAGAGUCAAGAGGCACAACCUGGCCAAGGGAACACUCAAGGAAACAGAUUCCAAACGUUUGUUUCCUUUAUUUUUAUUAACCCUUGCAUUCGCACAAUAUUUCAGCCAAAGCUUGAGGAAAGUAAGAACCCGACCUAUUGAAAGCUCAACCAAAAGACUAAUAAAAUAGUCAGCCAAAGAUACAGUUCUACAAAAUUGCAAUAUUUUUUAAUGUCUGUUUAUUUUUGAGAGAGAGAGAGAGAGGCAGAGUGCAAGCAGGGGAGGGGCAGAGAAAAAGAGGGAGACACAAAGCCCGAAGCAGGCUUCAGGCCCAGAGCUGUGAGCACAGAGCCCGACGCGGGGCUUGAACUCACAAAUGCCCGGAACGGUUCCUUGGUGUCCCUUUGACCGUCAUGCCCCUGACGCUUCUGAAGGUUCCAGGCACUGAAAUUUGGAUGCUUUCCUUACCCCACGUGGGCUGCGGCACCUCAUUCGGGGCUGCCUCCUGCAAGCGUGCCCUCCUGCCAAGUGGAGACCCUCCACUUGGGCCGGACGCCCCAAGCCCGGCUGCCCUUGCCAUCGCAGGGACGCCACCUCACCCUGCUCGGGCUCCGGCACCCUGGCACCGGGGCCCCCACCCAGGCAGCACCCCUCACCCCACCGAGGCGACAGCACCUUGCGCUGGGCAGCCCCUCCACGGACACCCACCUCACCCUGCUCCGGUGCUGACAGCCUGCAAUGCGAACGUCGCGGCGCCCCACUCCCCGGGCAGCUGGUCUCACGCAGAGGCUGACUUGCUCAGGGGGAGAGGGAUCACGGGAAAAAGAACAAGCUUCGGAUGGUGUUCAGAAACGCGUUUUAGUAUCUGUCUGUACGUGAGUCGUAGCCGAACCACCUGACGAACUGAAGUCCUUUUACUUAAGCAGAAAGCACAAACCGUAAGCACAAAAGCGUUCUCGUUUACAUCAUGAAUCCCAAAGGAGUAUUUUGAAGUGUUAAAACGGGUGGUCACAUUUGACUGUGAUUAUUUUAAAAACAUGCGCAGAGAAUUCACUCAGUCUUCAACAUUUUCUAUGUAUACACAAAAAUGAAACCAAUAAAAAUUAUCGUGUAAGACA
Acinonyx jubatus (cheetah) is the source of this 5113-nucleotide long non-coding RNA. RefSeq lists it as uncharacterized. Lineage: Eukaryota; Metazoa; Chordata; Mammalia; Carnivora; Felidae. The record is from RefSeq and is a predicted model, not a curated record. The transcript is spliced from 2 exons.